RNAcentral lists this ribosomal RNA (362 nucleotides) under Loxopholis hexalepis. RNAcentral describes it as "partial small subunit ribosomal RNA". It matches the Rfam family "Bacterial small subunit ribosomal RNA", at positions 856 to 1381 of the family's 1533-position model. The record is from RNAcentral. Lineage: Eukaryota; Metazoa; Chordata; Lepidosauria; Squamata; Gymnophthalmidae.
CACGACAUUAGUCCGCCAGAAAAUUACGAGCAUAUUAGCCUAAAACUCAAAAGACUUGACGGUGUCCCAACCUACCUAGAGGAGCCUGUUACAUAAUCGAUAUUCCCCGAUCAACCCUACCACCCCUAGAACCACUCCCAGCCUAUAUACCGCCGUCGCCAGCCCACCUUUUAAAAGAUACAAAGUAGGCACAAUAGUAUAUUACUAACACGUCAGGUCAAGGUGUAGCUAAUGAGGUGGUGCCAAUGGGCUACAUUACCUAUUUAAGGUCAUCUACGAACUAUUUUUUGACAAAACAAUACAAAGGCGGAUUUAGCAGUAAACUAAGCAAGAACACUCGGUUUAACACAUGCUCUGGGACA